Molecule: long non-coding RNA, 682 nt
Filed under: Sorghum bicolor (sorghum)
Lineage: Eukaryota; Viridiplantae; Streptophyta; Magnoliopsida; Poales; Poaceae
Description: long non-coding RNA (SBIC_LNC015833)
Source: RNAcentral
AGAGGGGGAAGAAUUAGCAAACCGGGCAGGAAAGAUGUCUUUCGUCGUAUAGAAGCUGCCUGGUGGGCCCAGGGCUCCAUGGAAGGGUCGGCCGACCCCACCUGGAGGUUCCUGGCCCUGCCACUCGAUUCUACGUCCCUCGGGAAGUCUUUCUGCACUUGUGUCGUUUCCUUUUACCAUAGAAAGGGGGUCGGGCGACCCCCUCAUCGCGCCUGUUUUUGGUGCCAUGACGUGCCGAGGUGUAUGCAGUGUUGUUCCAUGCUCACGGCAGUUCAGAGAUGAAGUUGGGGGGUCGGGCGACCCCCCACACUUGCAGUUUUCAUGCAGCUGAACUUACAACAGAGAGAGAUGAUCAAAUGCAGACGUCCUGCUGGUGGCAACACACCAGCAGGACCAAAAACAACUCUAUUAAAUCAAAUUUCAAUUGUAUAGGCACUUUUACAUUGUGAAAUUCAAAGUGACAAAUUGGAAAAUAAAAUUGAGUAAUCAAACCUAAAUAAUCAAAUAGUGCCUAUAACCUAAACUAACUAAUUUAUUUAGGGAGAUGGAGGUUUGAGGAGAUCCUCCCGCCCAAUUGCUUGUGCCAAACGCUUGAUUUUAGCGCUGGUGCUAAUGCGCAGGUGGCGGAAGUGAUCUUCUAUCUCAAGAUUCUCCAUCCUGAGCUCCGACACUGUCUCCUCUA